CAGCCGCCACGGUAAUACGGAGGGUGCAAGCGUUAUCCGGAUUCACUGGGUUUAAAGGGUGCGUAGGCGGGCAGGUAAGUCAGUGGUGAAAUCUUCGAGCUUAACUCGGAAACUGCCGUUGAUACUAUCUGUCUUGAAUAACGUUGAGGUGAGCGGAAUAUGUCAUGUAGCGGUGAAAUGCUUAGAUAUGACAUAGAACACCGAUUGCGAAGGCAGCUCACUAAACGCUCAUUGACGCUGAGGCACGAAAGCGUGGGGAUCAAACAGGAUUAGAUACCCCAGUAGUCCCUGUCUCUUAUAA
Molecule: ribosomal RNA, 301 nt
Filed under: uncultured bacterium
Lineage: Bacteria
Description: partial 16S ribosomal RNA
Rfam family: Bacterial small subunit ribosomal RNA
Source: RNAcentral